UGCAGUCGAGCGGUAGCACAGAGAGCUUGCUCUCGGGUGACGAGCGGCGGACGGGUGAGUAAUGUCUGGGAAACUGCCUGAUGGAGGGGGAUAACUACUGGAAACGGUAGCUAAUACCGCAUAANGUCGCAAGACCAAAGUGGGGGACCUUCGGGCCUCAUGCCAUCAGAUGUGCCCAGAUGGGAUUAGCUAGUAGGUGGGGUAACGGCUCACCUAGGCGACGAUCCCUAGCUGGUCUGAGAGGAUGACCAGCCACACUGGAACUGAGACACGGUCCAGACUCCUACGGGAGGCAGCAGUGGGGAAUAUUGCACAAUGGGCGCAAGCCUGAUGCAGCCAUGCCGCGUGUGUGAAGAAGGCCUUCGGGUUGUAAAGCACUUUCAGCGGGGAGGAAGGCGNUGAGGUUAAUAACCUNGUCGAUUGACGUUACCCGCAGAAGAAGCACCGGCUAACUCCGUGCCAGCAGCCGCGGUAAUACGGAGGGUGCAAGCGUUAAUCNGGAAUUACUGGGCGUAAAGCGCACGCAGGCGGUCUGUCAAGUCGGAUGUGAAAUCCCCGGGCUCAACCUGGGAACUGCAUUCGAAACUGGCAGGCUAGAGUCUUGUAGAGGGGGGUAGAAUUCCAGGUGUAGCGGUGAAAUGCGUAGAGAUCUGGAGGAAUACCGGUGGCGAAGGCGGCCCCCUGGACAAAGACUGACGCUCAGGUGCGAAAGCGUGGGGAGCAAACAGGAUUAGAUACCCUGGUAGUCCACGCCGUAAACGAUGUCGAUUUGGAGGUUGUGCCCUUGAGGCGUGGCUUCCGGAGCUAACGCGUUAAAUCGACCGCCUGGGGAGUACGGCCGCAAGGUUAAAACUCAAAUGAAUUGACGGGGGCCCGCACAAGCGGUGGAGCAUGUGGUUUAAUUCGAUGCAACGCGAAGAACCUUACCUGGUCUUGACAUCCACAGAACUUUCCAGAGAUGGAUUGGUGCCUUCGGGAACUGUGAGACAGGUGCUGCAUGGCUGUCGUCAGCUCGUGUUGUGAAAUGUUGGGUUAAGUCCCGCAACGAGCGCAACCCUUAUCCUUUGUUGCCAGCGGUUNGGCCGGGAACUCAAAGGAGACUGCCAGUGAUAAACUGGAGGAAGGUGGGGAUGACGUCAAGUCAUCAUGGCCCUUACGACCAGGGCUACACACGUGCUACAAUGGCAUAUACAAAGAGAAGCGACCUCGCGAGAGCAAGCGGACCUCAUAAAGUAUGUCGUAGUCCGGAUUGGAGUCUGCAACUCGACUCCAUGAAGUCGGAAUCGCUAGUAAUCGUAGAUCAGAAUGCUACGGUGAAUACGUUCCCGGGCCUUGUACACACCGCCCGUCACACCAUGGGAGUGGGUUGCAAAAGAAGUAGGUAGCUUAACCUUCGGGAGGGCGCUACCACU
Molecule: ribosomal RNA, 1412 nt
Filed under: Klebsiella sp.
Lineage: Bacteria; Pseudomonadati; Pseudomonadota; Gammaproteobacteria; Enterobacterales; Enterobacteriaceae
Description: bacterial SSU rRNA
Rfam family: Bacterial small subunit ribosomal RNA
Source: RNAcentral